RNAcentral lists this ribosomal RNA (486 nucleotides) under uncultured bacterium. Its description in RNAcentral is "partial 16S ribosomal RNA". It matches the Rfam family "Bacterial small subunit ribosomal RNA", at positions 29 to 507 of the family's 1533-position model. The record is from RNAcentral.
AUUGAACGCUGGCGGCAUGCCUUACACAUGCAAGUCGAACGGCAGCACGGGUGCUUGCACCUGGUGGCGAGUGGCGAACGGGUGAGUAAUACAUCGGUACAUGUCCUGUAGUGGGGGAUAGACCGGCGAAAGCCGGAUUAAUACCGCAUACGAUCUACGGAUGAAAGGGGGGGACCUUCGGGCCUCGCGCUGUAGGGUUGGCCGAUGGCUGAUUAGCUAGUUGGGGGGGUAAAGACCUACCAAGGCGACGAUCAGUAGAGGGUGUGAGAGGACGACAAGCGACAUGGGGAGGGGGCCACGGCCAAGACGCCUACGGGAGGGAGCAGUCGGGAACUGUGGACAACGGUCGAAAGUCUGAUACAGUAAGGCCGCGUGUGUGACGACGGCGCUGGGUUUGUAAAGACCGCUUUCCCGGAAAGAAAUGCUUGGGCCUAAUACGGUCGUGGGAUGACGGUAACGGAUGAAUAAGCACCGGCUAACUACGUG